UGGGGAAUAUUGCACAAUGGGCGCAAGCCUGAUGCAGCGACGCCGCGUGAGGGAUGACGGCCUUCGGGUUGUAAACCUCUUUCAGUACCGACGAAGCGAAAGUGACGGUAGGUACAGAAGAAGCACCGGCCAACUACGUGCCAGCAGCCGCGGUAAUACGUAGGGUGCGAGCGUUGUCCGGAAUUACUGGGCGUAAAGAGCUCGUAGGUGGUUUGUCGCGUUGUCCGUGAAAACUCACAGCUCAACUGUGGGCGUGCGGGCGAUACGGGCAGACUGGAGUACUGCAGGGGAGACUGGAAUUCCUGGUGUAGCGGUGGAAUGCGCAGAUAUCAGGAGGAACACCGGUGGCGAAGGCGGGUCUCUGGGCAGUAACUGACGCUGAGGAGCGAAAGCGUGGGGAGCGAACAG
RNAcentral lists this ribosomal RNA (408 nucleotides) under uncultured bacterium. Its description in RNAcentral is "bacterial SSU rRNA". It matches the Rfam family "Bacterial small subunit ribosomal RNA", at positions 355 to 775 of the family's 1533-position model. The record is from RNAcentral.